UACGUAGGGCGCAAGCGUUGUCCGGAAUUAUUGGGCGUAAAGAGCUCGUAGGCGGUCUGUCGCGUCGGAUGUGAAAGCCCGGGGCUUAACCCCGGGUCUGCAUUCGAUACGGGCAGACUAGAGUGUGGUAGGGGAGAUCGGAAUUCCUGGUGUAGCGGUGAAAUGCGCAGAUAUCAGGAGGAACACCGGUGGCGAAGGCGGAUCUCCGGGCCAUUACUGACGCUGAGGAGCGAAAGCGUGGGGAGCGAACAGG
Molecule: ribosomal RNA, 253 nt
Filed under: uncultured bacterium
Lineage: Bacteria
Description: partial 16S ribosomal RNA
Rfam family: Bacterial small subunit ribosomal RNA
Source: RNAcentral